This 1439-nucleotide ribosomal RNA is filed under the name uncultured bacterium. Its description in RNAcentral is "bacterial SSU rRNA". It matches the Rfam family "Bacterial small subunit ribosomal RNA". The record is from RNAcentral.
AGAGUUUGAUCAUGGCUCAGAACGUACGCUGGCGGCACGCCUAACACAUGCAAGUCGAACGAAGUAGCAAUACUUAGUGGCAGACGGGUGAGUAACAUGUAGGUAUCUGCCCUUUGGCCUGGAAUAACACGAGGAAACUUGUGCUAAUACCGGAUAAGUCUUUACGGAGAAAGCUUUAUGCACCAUUGGAUGAGCCUGCACUUGAUUAGUUUGUUGGUGGGGUAAUGGCCUACCAAGACUGUGAUCAAUAGCUGAUUUGAGAGGAUGAUCAGCCACAUUGGGACUGAGACACGGCCCAAACUCCUACGGGAGGCAGCAGUGGGGAAUCUUGCACAAUGGAGGAAACUCUGAUGCAGCGAUGCCGCGUGAGUGAAGAAGGCCCUUGGGUUGUAAAGCUCUUUCGUCGGGGAAGAAAAUGACUGUACCCGAAUAAGAAGGUCCGGCUAACUUCGUGCCAGCAGCCGCGGUAAUACGAAGGGACCUAGCGUAGUUCGGAAUUACUGGGCUUAAAGAGUUCGUAGGUGGUUGAAAAAGUUGGUGGUGAAAUCCCAGAGCUUAACUCUGGAACUGCCAUCAAAACUUUUCAGCUAGAGUAUGAUAGAGGAAAGCAGAAUUUCUAGUGUAGAGGUGAAAUUCGUAGAUAUUAGAAAGAAUACCAAUUGCGAAGGCAGCUUUCUGGAUCAUUACUGACACUGAGGAACGAAAGCAUGGGUAGCGAAGAGGAUUAGAUACCCUCGUAGUCCAUGCCGUAAACGAUGUGUGUUAGACGUUGGAAAUUUAUUUUCAGUGUCGCAGCGAAAGCGAUAAACACACCGCCUGGGGAGUACGACCGCAAGGUUAAAACUCAAAUGAAUUGACGGGGACCCGCACAAGUAGUGGAGCAUGUGGUUUAAUUCGAAGAUACGCGCAGAACCUUACCAACACUUGACAUGUUCGUCGCGACUUUAAGAGAUUAAAGUUUUCGGUUCGGCCGGACGAAACACAGGUGCUGCAUGGCUGUCGUCAGCUCGUGUCGUGAGAUGUUGGGUUAAGUCCCGCAACGAGCGCAACCCUCACUUUUAGUUGCCAUCAUUAAGUUGGGCACUCUGAAAGAACUGCCAGUGAUAAGCUGGAGGAAGGUGGGGAUGACGUCAAGUCCUCAUGGCCCUUACGUGUUGGGCUACACACGUGCUACAAUGGUAUCUACAACAGGAAGCAAAACCGCGAGGUUAAGCAAAUCCUUAAAAGAUACCUCAGUUCGGAUUGCACUCUGCAACUCGAGUGCAUGAAGCUGGAAUUACUAGUAAUCGUGGAUCAGCGUGCCACGGUGAAUGCGUUCCCGGGUCUUGUACACACCGCCCGUCACACCAUGGGAGUUGGUUCUACCUUAAGGCAAGGUUUAAAACCCUUGACCACGGUAUAGUCAGCGACUGGGGUGAAGUCGUAACAAGGUAACCGUA